RNAcentral lists this transfer RNA (65 nucleotides) under Nocardioides cavernae. Its description in RNAcentral is "tRNA-Gly". The record is from RNAcentral. Lineage: Bacteria; Bacillati; Actinomycetota; Actinomycetes; Propionibacteriales; Nocardioidaceae.
GCCGCAGCGGUCUCGAGGACCUGUGCCUCCCAAGCGAAAGGUCGCAAGUUCGACUCUUGCGCGCU